UCUUCUUCGUAUUAGGUUGAUUACAGUCAUCACUCUAGUAAUUUUAUGACUCCUAAAAUUGCAAAAAAACUUUUAGUUUCACUCAAGCUCUCUUCCACGAUUUAAACUGAAAGGAUCAAUUUCACUGUAAGUGGUGUGUAGGAUUGUGUUGAGCUAACCAAUCAAAUCCUAACAUGACAGCAUAAUUUGGAAGAUCCAAUUCAUGAAAGUAUUGGAGAAUUGAUGUUCUCCAAUGGAAAAUUCAAAACCAUUGCUGACAGUAGAUACUAACUACCCACCUCGAGCCACCGUUACUAAAACUGAUGGUGCUACAGACAUAAGACAGUUAGCUGGCACAGGAAAAUUCAUGAGCAAUAUGCCACAAAGUUAUUUUCAUCUUGCUUAGGGCUUUAACACUCCACAUUUGUUUUCAAUAUUUUCCUAAAAAACCGAUUCUGACGACAUCCCACACCCAGUCCUGCUUCGGAAAACACCCAUUCCUGACAGUUUACUGGCCUUUCCAACAGCGCAAUCUACAUUAUCUCUUUCAAUAUGAAAAAUAUCCCAAAAAGACAACCAGAUUCGAUCCGGUAGACAGGGGGGUCAUCAAUGUUUCACAAAGUAUGAUCUAGCAGUAUUUUAGAAUGAUAACAGAUGAUAACAGGCCAAAAUUUGCCCCUGUUGUUUGAUAUUGACAUCACAAGAGGAUAAUGGAAAGUACUUGCUCGGGAGUUUCUUCUUUCUGGAGAUCUGUAGUUGCUUCCUGCAGCCUGAAUCAAAAGUUGGAGUUCGCACUUGCCUCUCCUGGAAUGGUCUUCACAGCUCCUCCUAAGGAGCAGCAAAUAAUUGUUAUGCAGGGCUCAACCCUCAACCUUAGAGAGUGACAUGCAAAUACUUUGCAAACUGUAGCGAGUAGAAGUUGAGCAAACUGGCCGUAGCAGCAAAGGUAGUAGCAGCAAGUAGGUGGAAUAUGUGACAUGGUGAACUUGUAUUAGUUGUUCACGCAUGAAUUUCCGUGUGUGCGUGAGAUCAAUCUGUACUGUUGUUAAUAUUUAUCGAUCGUUUGGGGUUGUGGAUUGUAGAAACUUGUACAUUAUCUUACUUUCAGAUUGAUGUUCUGCCUGAAACUGUUUCAGAGGAAAGCUAAAUACAUUUGUAAGAUCAGUACUUCA
Lolium rigidum is the source of this 1151-nucleotide long non-coding RNA. RefSeq lists it as uncharacterized. NCBI's taxonomy places the organism in Eukaryota, Viridiplantae, Streptophyta, Magnoliopsida, Poales, Poaceae. The transcript has 3 exons. The record is from RefSeq and is a predicted model, not a curated record.